Molecule: long non-coding RNA, 751 nt
Organism: Varroa destructor (honeybee mite)
Lineage: Eukaryota; Metazoa; Arthropoda; Arachnida; Mesostigmata; Varroidae
Source: RefSeq, a predicted model, not a curated record
CGCUGCUGCUGCUGCUGCAGUGGUCUCUAUCAUCCGAUAAUAUGUAUAGCUCCAGAAACACUACUGCUAUGGUUAGAAUCGCUAAUGGCUACACCGAGAACAGUGAAACAACAAGGUGCCAAUUCCGCUAGUACUAGCAUUACUAUUGAGUAAGUGAUCGCCUAUGGCAGUUGCCUAACUGUGCUUCUGUUUGUUUAUGCUGCGUCUUCUCCGAUCGCCACCCGCCCGUCAGACCGACCGCCCGCGUGUCUGUUUCCCUGUCGCCACCGCCAUCGGAUCGGGCGUAGGUUCCCCCUUUUCCUUGCCGCCCUUGCUAUGGCAGGGUAACUGUUUGCAACUAACGACGAUAACGGCCGGACAAAAAGUAACCAGCAACGUCCAAACAGACUAUAAAGAUCCCGCUGGUGCCUUUUUUGUUGUUGUUGUUGUUGUCGUCGUCUGCCUGCGUGCGUGCGCCGGCUGCUGUUGCAGGGUUAUGACGGUGUGAUGGUGCUCGUGGCACUGGUAGAGUCUGUCUUAUUGUAGUGAUUGUGAGAGUAGAAGUGUUCUCUGGGUGGGGGGGGGUAACAAAGAUAGAAGUGUUGCUGCUCGUGCUGUUGUGGUUCGUUUGUAAUGGCUGGUAUAAAACAUGAGGUUGGAGCCUGAGUGUGAACUGGCGCCAGCGCCUCCGCUGCUGCCGUUGUCUCUGCUAUCUUUUGCGGUCAACUGGCGCCGUUACAGCUCAUGAAUAUAGCAAGACCAGCAAAAACAA